GGGGAGCAACGGAUCCUGGGCUGUGUCCUCCGGUGCCUUGGGCUCAGGGCCUGCGCCGCUGGAAUCGUGCUACUGAGGUCACGCAGCCCCCU
RNAcentral lists this microRNA precursor (92 nucleotides) under Canis lupus familiaris (dog). RNAcentral's name for it is "mir-8799 microRNA precursor family". It matches the Rfam family "mir-8799 microRNA precursor family". RNAcentral also lists the same sequence under 1 other name. The record is from Rfam by way of RNAcentral. Lineage: Eukaryota; Metazoa; Chordata; Mammalia; Carnivora; Canidae.